This 1366-nucleotide long non-coding RNA is filed under the name Cyanistes caeruleus (blue tit). RNAcentral's name for it is "lncRNA (ENSCCEG00000006760.1)". Lineage: Eukaryota; Metazoa; Chordata; Aves; Passeriformes; Paridae. The record is from RNAcentral.
UUUUAGGGCUGAAUUCGGGAUUUUUGGGCUAAAUUUGGGAUUUUUGGGGCUAAAUUUGGAAUUUUUGGGGCUAAAUUUGGGAUUUUUGGGGCUAAAUUUGGGGUUUUUGGGGCUAAAUUUGUGAUUUUGGGGCUAAAUUUGGGAUUUUGGGCUAAAUUCGGGAUUUUGGGGCUAAAUUUGGGAUUUUUGGGGCUAAAUUCGGGAUUUUUGGGGCUAAAUUUGUGAUUUUUGUCGCUAAAUUUGGGAUUUUGGGGCUAAAUUUGGGAUUUUGGGGCUAAAUUUGGGAUUUUUGGGGCUAAAUUCGGGAUUUUUGGGGCUAAGUUUGGGAUUUUUGGCGCUAAAUUUGGGAUUUUUGGGCUAAAUUCAGAAUUUUUGGGGCUAAAUUUGGGAUUUUUGGGGCUAAAUUUGGGAUUUUUGGGGCUAAAUUUGGGAUUUUUGGGGGCUAAAUUCAGGAUUUUUGGGGCUAAAUUUGGGAUUUGUGGACUAAAUUCGCAAUUUUGGGGCUAAAUUUGGUGUUUUUGGGGCUAAAUUCGGAAUUUUUGGGGCUAAAUUUGGGAUUUCUUGGGGCUAAAUUCGGAAUUUUUGGGGCUAAAUUUGGGAUUUUGGGGCUAAAUUUGGGAUUUUGGGGCUAAAUUUGGGAUUUUUGGUUCUAAAUUCAGGAUUUUGGGCUAAGUUUGGGAUUUUUGGGGCUAAAUUCGUGAUUUUUGGGGCUAAAUUCAGAAUUUUUGGGGCUAAAUUUGUGAUUUUUUGGGGCUAAAUUCGGGAUUUUUGGGGUUAAAUUCGGGGUUUUGGGUUAAAUUUGGGAUUUUUGGGGCUAAAUUCGUGAUUUUUGUCGCUAAAUUCGGGAUUUUGGGUUAAAUUUGGGGGUUUUGGGGCUGUUUGGGCAGGUGAGGAAGAGGAAGAGAAGGCGAAGGCGGGCGGCGCCGAGGCCGAGCGGCGCGGGGUGAAACGGCUCCGGGACGAGAAGGACGAGCACGGCCGCGCCUACCACGAGUUCCGUGAGGAGGCCUAUAACAGCCGAUCCAAAUCGCCGCCGCCGCCGGAGGAGGAACCGCCCGAGGGGGAAGAGGACGAGAGCCUCGUCAUCCUCGACACCUGUACGGGAAUCCCGGGAAUCCCGGGAAUUCCAGAGGGUUCCAGGAAUUUGGGAUCCUUGGGGGAGGGGAGGGAGAAUUCCCUGGAAUUUUUGGGGGGAUUUUGGGAUUUUUGGGGGAUUUUUUGGGAUUUUUUGGGAUGAUUUUGGAAUUUUUGGGGAUUUUUGGGGGGUUUUUUUGGAUUUUUUUAGGGGUUUUUUGGGAUUUUUCUGGGUUUUUUGGGGGAUUUUGGGAUUUUGGGAAAUUUUGGGGGAUUUUUUGGGGCAAUUUUG